Long non-coding RNA from Oncorhynchus nerka (sockeye salmon), 12433 nucleotides. RefSeq lists it as uncharacterized. The record is from RefSeq and is a predicted model, not a curated record. The transcript has 3 exons. Lineage: Eukaryota; Metazoa; Chordata; Actinopteri; Salmoniformes; Salmonidae.
CCGGCCAGCUGGUCUGCGCAUGCUCUGAGGGCGCGGCUGGGGAUGCCGUCUGGGCCUGCAGCCUUGCGAGGGUUAACACUUUUAAAUGUCUUACUCACCUCUUACUCACCUCGGCUGCAGUGAAGGAGAGACCGCAUGUUUUCGUUGCAGGCCGUGUCAGUGGCACUGUAUUGUCCUCAAAGCGGGCAAAAAAAUUAUUUAGUCUGCCUGGGAGCAAGACAUCCUGGUCCGUGACUGGGCUGGGUUUCUUCUUGUCGUCCGUGAUUGACUGUAGACCCUGCCACAUGCCUCUUGUGUCUGAGCCGUUGUAUUGAGAUUCUAAUUUGUCUCUGUACUGACGCUUAGCUUGUUUGAUAGCCUUGCGGAGGGAAUAGCUGCACUGUUUGUAUUCGGUCAUGUUACCAGACACCUUGCCCUGAUUAAAAGCAGUGGUUCGCGCUUUCAGUUUCACGCGAAUGCUGCCAUCAAUCCACGGUUUCUGGUUAGGGAAUGUUUUUAUCGUUGCUAUGGGAACGACAUCUUCAACGCACGUUCUAAUGAACUCGCACACCGAAUCAGCGUAUUCGUCAAUAUUGUUAUCUGACGCAAUACGAAACAUUUCCCAGUCCACGUGAUGGAAGCAGUCUUGGAGUGUGGAGUCAGCUUGGUCGGACCAGCGUUGGACAGACCUCAGCGUGGGAGCCUCUUGUUUUAGUUUCUGUCUGUAGGCAGGGAUCAACAAAAUGGAGUGAUUAUAAUCAAAGAGAAUUCUCUUGGAAGAUAAUGCGGUCUACAUUUGAUUGUGAGGAAUUCUAAAUCAGGUGAACAGAGGAUUUGAGUUCCUGUAUGUUUCCUUCAUCACACCAUGUCUCGUUAGUCAUGAGGCAUACGCCCCCGCCACUCUUCUUACCAGAAAGAUAUCAGAAGAUAUCAGAAGUUUCUAAAGCCAUGAAUUUUCCAAGCUGUUUAAAGGCACAGUCAACUUAGUGUAUGCAAACAUCUGACCCACUGGAAUUGUGAUACAAUAAUAAUUAUAAGUGAAAUAAUCCGUCUGUAAACAAUUGUUAGAAAAAUUACUUGUGUUUUUUAAUUUAAUUUUAAUUUAAUUUAACCUUUAUUUUACUAGGCAAGUCAGUUAAGAACAAAUUCUUAUUUUCAAUGACGGCCUAGGAACAGUGGGUUAACUGCCUGUUGAGGGGCAGAACGACAGAUUUGUACCUUGUCAGCUCAGGGAUUUGAACUUGCAACCUUCCGGUUAGUAGUCCAACGCUCUAACCACCCCAUGUCAUGCACAAAGUAGAUGUCCUAACCGACUUGCCAAAACUAUAGUUUGUAAACAAGAAAUUGUUGGAGUGGUUGAAAAAUGAGUUUCAAUCACUCCAACCUAAGUGUAUGUAAACUUCCGACUUCAACUGUAUGUAUAGAAAUGGUUCAAGUGACUAUGCAUAUAUAAUGAACAGAGAGCAGCAGCAGCAUAAAAGAGGGGUUGGCAGGAGGUGGGUGGAGGGACACAAUGCAGAUUUCCCGGCUAGCCAAUCAGCGGGAGCACUGGUUGGUCGGGCUACUUGAGGUAGUAUGUACAUAUGUACAUGAAUGUAUAGUUAAAGUGACUAUGCAUAUAUGAUAAACAGAGAGUAGCAGCAGCGUAAAAAGAGGGGUUGGGGGGAGGCACACAAUGCAAAUAGUCCGGGUAGCCAUUUGAUUACCUGUUCAGGAGUCUUAUGGCUUGGGGGUAAAAACUGUUGAGAAGCCUUUUUGUCCUAGACUUGUCACUCCGGUACUGCUUGCCAUGUGGUAGUAGAGAGAACAGUCUAUGACUGCCUGGGGUCUUUGACAAUUUUUAAGGCCUCCUCUGACACCACCUGGUGUAGAGUUCCUGGAUGGCAGGCAGCUUAGCCCCAGUGAUGUACUGAGCCGUACGCACUUCCCUCUGAAGUGCCUUGCGGUCAGAGGACAAGCAAGUGCCGUACCAGGCAGUGAUGCUCUUGAUUUUAAUUUAUAUAUUCAUUAUUUUGCCAGGUAAGUUGACAGAACACAUUCUCAUUUACAGCAAUGACCUGGGGAAUAGUUACAGUGGAGAGGAGAUGAAGGAGCCAAUUGUAAACUGGGGAUUAUUAAGUGCCCGUGAUGGUUAGAUUGGGAAUUUAGCAAGUACCCCAGGGAUAACACCCCUACUCUUACAAUAAGUGCCAUGGGAUCUUCAAUGACCUCAGAGAGUCAAGACAUCCAUUUAUUGUCCCAUCCAAUAGACUGCACCCUACACAGUCAAUCAAUCACUGCCCUGGGGCAGAGGGAUAUUUUUUUAGACCAGAGGAAAGAGUGCCUCCUAAUGGCCCUUCAACACCACUUCCAACGGAAUCUGGUCUCCCAUCCACAGACUGACCAGGACCAACCCAGGACCAACCCUGCUUAGCUUCAGAAGCAAGCCAGCAGUGGUAUGCAGGGUGGUAUGCUGCUGGCAGCUAACCCUAACCCUAAGCUGUAGAACCUUUUGAGUAUCUCAGGACCCAUGCCAAAUCUUUUUAGUUUCCUGAGGGGGAAUAGGCUUUGUCGUGCCCUCUUCACGACUGUCUUGGUGUGUUUGGACCAUUCUAGUUUGUUGGUGAUGUGGACACCAAGGAACUUGAAGCUUUCCACUUGCUCCACUGUUGCCCUGUCGAUGAGAAUGGGGGCGUGCUCGGUCCUCCUUUUCCUCAAGUCCACAAUCAUCUCGUUAGUCUUGGUUACGUUGAGGGAUAGAUAAGUGUUCCUUUUUUCCAGGUGAGAAAGGGCAUGUAUGACGUUCCUUGUAGUCUGUAAACAUUAUUUUUAUUACCAUAUCAUUUUUGUAUGUUCUCUAUACGUACUUGAAAAUUUGCACACAUACCGCUGCCAUCUGGUGGCGCAAAUCUAAAUUGCGCCUAGAUUCAUAUCAUGUUAUGGCCUUUCUGAGAUGAUGAAAAAAAGUCUAAUUCGAAAAAAUUGUUUUUUGUUUGUAUUAUCUUUUACCAGAUCUAAUGUGUUAUAUUCUAUUACAUUAAUUUCACAUUUACACAAAAAUGUUCCUUUCAAAUGGUAUCAAUAAUAUGCAUAUCCUUGCUUCAGGUCAGAGCUACAGGCAGUUAGAUUGAACAAUUCUUAAAUCUAAAAGGUACUACAAUCAAAUGAUAGUAAAUCAGCUUUUUAGUACCCAUGUGGAUUGUACUUUGGAAAAAAGCUGUACUUUAAUUUAAGGAAACAUUUUAUAUUUUAGUUUUACAGAACAUGCACAUUUAAACUGUCAUUUUGCUGUAAAAACACUUUUUUAAUUAGAUUUUUUUAGGUAACAUUAUUUACAUAUCAUGAUGUUUUGAUAAGAAUGUUGUGACAUGGAAUGUGGGGUUUGUUGUCACUAUCAGCUCCAUUAUAACCAUAUCGUUCUGGAACAUUGCCACGGCCAGUAUAUAAUGAAUCCCUGUAUAGGAAAAGGGAUGCCAUUUGGGAAGCAGAUAAACAUCUCCCCGUGUUCCUAAUAAUCAGUGUUAUGGUGGCUCUGUCAUUAGCCAGCCACUCUGAUAGAACAAAUAUAGCCUUCGAGGACAAAGGUACACUUCAAACACUCAUGUACACUUCAAACAUUCAGGAUUAGCCAUCCUGUGUGAGUGGUGCACGCACCCACUAUACACACUUCCACAAGUAUGGUAGUAUAGAAAUGCAAUGUGGUUGUGUUGCCCUCUGGUGGUUGAGUUAAGUAAGUGAGGUGGAGGAGCAGAGUUUAAUUGAGUGAAUGAGUUGAGUCUUAGUUGUGUAUCCUACUCUCUGUAAUAGAGGAGAUUGUGUGAAAGGGCAGAGGAUUUGGAUGAGGUUUUGUUCUCCAUGUUAAUGCUGGAUCAAACUUUCCUUUCCUUAGGUUAUUCUUGUUGUUUCUUCAAAUGAAUCUAUUCAUUAUUUUCUGAUCCUGUAUCUGUGUAGUCAUGUUAUUAUUUCAUAUUAUGGAUAUUUAUGGUUAUUUUAUUGUUUUUCUUUCUUAUUUAAUUUUGUACUAUUGGCCUAACAUUAAAACAAAUUAAUAUACAGGUUUAAAUGUAAACACUUCAUUUUCAUGUUAAUGUCACAUCAUUUGUUUUUUGUCAAAGUAUUUCUCCCACACCUUCUUGCAUUCAGAGUCAUCCUCCACCGUCACUGCCACUUCCAUCAAAACGCUGGAACCCUGGUUGUUGUUCGAGUUAGUCUUGCCCCAACCAGCUACGGAGCAUUUAGGGGAUGCUGGGAGAUGUUCAUCCUCCUUUGGGAGUCCAAAGUCUUGGUUAGAUGAGCUGUGGUCCUUAACUAUAAGAGGAAAUAAAAAUAAAAUAAAAUGAGAUAAAAUUAUUAUAUUCUAUUUGUAUAAUUCAGAAUAAACCUUGAAUUAAACUCUAUAAAUAUUCAUGUCAAGAUUUUCAAAAUAUGCUUUUCAACCAUAGCAAAACAAGCAUUUGUGUAAGAUUAUUGAUAGCUAGCAUAGCAUUUAGCGUAGCAUUCAGCAUGCAACAUUUUCACAAAAACAAGAAAAAGCAUUCAAAUAAAAUCAUUUACCUUUGAAGAACUUCAGAUAUUUUCAAUGAGGAGACUCUCAGUUAGAUAGCAAAUGUUCAGUUUUUACAAAAAUAUUAUUUGUGUAGGACAAAUCGCUCCGUUUUGUUCAUCGCGUUUGGCUGCGAAAAAAACCUGAAUCCAGGAGUGUAAUUCUCUAGGCAAGCUCAUUAGCAUAACACAACGUUAACUAUUCAUGAAUAUCGCAAAUGAAAUGAAAUAAAUAUAUUAGCUCUCAAGCUUAGCCUUUUGUUAACAACACUGUCAUCUCAGAUUUUCAAAAUAUGCUUUUGAACCAUAGCUAAACAAGCAUUUGUGUAACAGUAUUGAUAGCCUAGCAUAGGAUUAAGCCUGGCAUUCAGCAUGCAACAUUUUCACAAAAACAAAAAAAGCAUUCAAAUAAAAAUAUUUUACCUUUGAAGAACUUCAGAUGUUUUCAAUGAGGAGACUCUCAGUUAGAUAGCAAAUGUUCAGUUUUUACAAAAAGAUUAUUUGUGUAGACAAAUCGCUCAGUUUUCUUCAUCACGUCUGGGUAAGAAAAACCCGAAAAUGAAGUCAUUAAAAAGCUAACUUUUUUCCAAAUUAACUCCAUAAUAUCGACAGAAACAUGGCAAACGUUGUUUAGAAUCAAUCCUCAAGGUUUUUUUCACAUAUCUAUUCGAUGAUAAAUCAUUCGUGGCAGUUUAGUUUCUUCUCUGAAGAAAUGGAACGCGCAUGGACCUGGAGAAUACGCAAUAAUUUCGACGCAGGACACCGGGCGGACACCUGGUAAAUGUAGUCUCUUAUGGUCAAUCUUCCAAUGAUAUGCCUACAAAUACCUCACAAUGCUGCAGACACCUUGGGGAAACGACAGAAAGGGCAGGCUCAUUCCUGGCGCAUUCACAGCCAUAUAAGGAGACAUUGGAACACAGCGCCUUCAGAAUCUGGGGCAUUUCCUGUAUGAAACUUCAUCUUGGUUUCGCCUGUAGCAUUAGUUCUGGGGCACUCACAGAUAAUAUCUUUGCAGUUUUGGAAACGUCAGAGUUUUUUUUUUCCAAAGCUGUCCAUUACAUUCAUAGUCGAGCAUCUUUUCGUGACAAAAUAUCUUGUUUAAAACGGGAACGUUUUUUAUCCAAAAAUUAAAAGAGCGCCCCCUAUCUCGAAGAAGUUAAAGUUCAUUCGAAAUAAGUACUAUAUACUGUAGAAAGGAGACAUUAGAGGUGUCUUGAAGAUUACCUUUAGUAGCAUGACGUCAUAACUGAUCUGCGUUGCAUUCUCAUGUAGAUUACCUUCAGUAGCAUGACGACAUAACUGAUCUGCGUUGCAUUCUCAUGUAGAUUACCUUCAGUAGCAUGACGUCAUAACUGAUCUGGGUUGCAUUCUCAUGUAGAUUACCUUCAGUAGCAUGACGUCAUAACUGUUCUGCGUUGCAUUCUCAUGUAAUGGAUGCCGAAGGUAAUGGGACACCUGAAUCUUCUGACAACUCUUCUUCCACUUCUUUAAGUCGUGGGCUCCAAGCACCACCGUUAAAGGAUAAGCACUAACAGAUCAUCAAAACGGGUCACAAGACAUAGAAUGAAAUAGAAGAAUUCCUCAAGAGGCCUAACAAGAUGCAACAAAACAAACAGCAUCUGGAUUAAUUUGUUGUCUACGACAAAGAAAACUCACUUCCUUAAGCAGUGUGCUGAAGUCAGGACAAAGUCCUCCCAGAUGAGCAGGUGAGAUGGAGUGGAAAUAUCACACAUUUUAAGUAGGUUGUAAGUGGCCUCAGAUGAUUCAUACCAAAAAGCACCUUUUAAAACAAAGUACAUCAUCCAUAUGUCUCUUUAGAAUGUCACUCAUAUCAUUCAAGUCCCUGUCAGGACCUCAACAGGAACAAGAACAUUAUAAAUUCCAAACUGUAGUUGGUCAAUAAGUAUAAGGCUUUUCAUUCAGGGGGCGAUGAAACAACAGAGCCCCAUUUAAUGAAGGGAAGUGAAGUGGGCGGAGGGACACAAUAGGAGCUAAGAUGCUAAUAUGUGUGUAAACUACAUAGUUCUGUGAGUGUCACUGAGUAGCUGAUACCCAUUUCAUGGGAGCACAAUCUCUAGUUUAAACUGUACAGUCCAAUCUGUAUGUUCAAUAUGCACAUUGGGCUGUGUAGUGAACUGAUUUCUCAUAAAGUCCUGCAGCUAAAACGCUAGAAUUUGUGUAAACUCUACACAGUUGUGUCCUGUGAAUGUCACUGAGGAGAUAUCCCAUUUCAUGGGGACACAAUCCAUAGGUUAGGCUGUACAGUGGAAACAUUCCCCCCAUUGUAAAGUCUAUUACAUCCACAGUGGGAUUUAAUCUGUUUUUGUGUCGAUCUGUGUUAGUAUGCACUUUGAGAAACAACAUUGGUUUCAUUUUACUUUCUAGGAAAUCAUGUGACCCUUAAUGCAACCGCUGUGUCCGAUUUUUUAAAAACUUUACAGAAAAAGCAUAAUCUGAGAACGGCGCUCAGAGCCCAAAACAGCCAGAGCAAUAUCCGCCAUUUUAUUCACUUACCUUUGAUGAUCUUUAUCAGAAGGCACUCCCAGGAAUCCCAGUUCUACAGUAAAUGACUGAUUUGUUCCAUAAAGUUCCAUCAUUUAUGUCCAAAUAGCCACUUGUUGUUAGCGUGUUCAGCCCAGUAAUCGAUUUUCAUGAGGCGCAGGCACUUCGUCCAGACAAAGACUCCAAAAGUUCCGUUACAGUCCUUUAGAAACAUGUAAAACGAUGUAUGGAAUCAAUCGUUAUGAUGUUUUUAACAUAAAACAUCAAUAAUGUUCCUAAUUCCUUUGUCUUCAGAAAAGCACUGGAAAGAGAUGUAACUCUGUCGGGAGCGCGUCAUGAGACCAAGGCUCUCUGCCAGACCACUGACUCAAAGAGAUCUCAUGAGCCCCUCCUUUAAAGUAGAAUCCUCAAACCAGUUUCUAAAGACGGUUGACAUCUAGUGGAAGCCUUAGGAAGUGCAGCAUGCUCAUCCAUAUCUCAAUGUGUAUUCGGUAGGCCAAGCUUUGAAAAACUACAAACCUCAGAUGUCCCACUUCCUGGUUGGAUUUUUUCUCAGGUUUUUGCCUGCCAUAUGAGUUCUGUUAUACUCACAGACAUCAUUCAAACAGUUUUAGAAACGUCAGAGUGUUUUCUAUCCAAUAUCAAUAAUAACAUUCUUAUAUUAGCAUCUGGGACAGAGUAGGAGGCAGUUCACUCUGGGCACCCUACUCAUCCAAAUGUGAAAAUGCUGCCCCCUAUCCCAAAAAGGUUAUGCUAGAGUUCAUUUGUGCAACGAUAACAAGCUAGUAAUAAGCUAACUGAGAAACUUGGCUCCCAAAGUAACUAAUGUCACACAGUCGUACACAACACCAGUGAUGCUCUGUCUGUCUGUGGCCAUACGGCCCGAGGAAAGGUCCUCCUCUGUGCUGACAGGGUGGCUGAGGCUCGGUGACGGAGAGAGGGAGAGGUUGAUUUAUCUAUUCAAUGUUUAUUAACUUCUUCUCUCAUUCCUUUGUUCUCCUGGAGGACUGGCACCUAUCCAGGGAGCACUAAUGCAAAAUGGAUUAUGUUUUCCGCCCGCUGCACUGGAAGCUAGCCAUUCUCGUGUGUGUGUGUGUGUGUGUGUGUGUGUGUGUGUGUGUGUGUGUGUGUGUGUGUGUGUGUGUGUGUGUGUGUGUGUGUGUAGUGUGUGUGUAGUGUGUGUGUAGUGUGUGUGUGUGUGUGUGUGUGUGUGUGUGUGUGUGUGACAACCGAACCGGAGCUGUUUUUAGGAUACGCAGUGCGGAAAGACAGUCGGUGACAGUCGGUGACAGUUGGUGACAGUCGGUGGCAGUUUGGAAGUAAACUCUCUUCAGCUGGUGGUGUUAAUGAGAGACAGUGUGGUCGACCAUACAGGAUGCGUAGUGCUCUGUGGUCAAUGUCUCCACCUGGUGUUGAAAUAGAGAAGUGAAAUCAGUAAACAACAAUUGGAAAACCUUUUUUUCAGCUACUUUUUUUUAGGUGUAAUUAUAUGUGACCACUACUAUAUAAUACUUGUGUGAAUAUGUUGUGUAGUGAAAAAUAAACAAUAGGAAAACUAGGGAUAACAUCAAUAAACAUGUACAGCUUGGGCAAAGAGGUCGAGCAACUGGUUUGGACAACAGUUUUUGAGCUAAGCUCCCUCUGUAUGUAAACAGGAAGUACAAAAAGGGGGGGGGGACAACAAAGGAAUGUGGCCCUUCACAAAAGCAUUCUAUAGUCCUUCUCUAGAUGUAGACCUCUGUACUAAAGUAUGGUCUCUGGUCUCGCCUUCUGAUGUCUCUCUCUGGUCUCUCCUUCUAAUGUCUCUCUCUGGUAUCUCUCUCUCUGGUCUCUCUCUGGUCUCUCCUUCUGAUGUCUCUCCAUAUCUCUGGUAUCUCUCUCCGGUCUCUCACUCUCUCUGCUCUCUCUCUCUCUCUCUCUCUCUCUCUCUGGUCUCUCCUGAUGUCUCUCUCUAUCGCUGGUAUCUCUCUCUCUCUGCUCUCUCUCUCUAUCCCUGGGUUCUCUCUCUCUGGGUUCUCUCUUUCUGGUCUCUGAGGUCACUCCUCUCUCCACCCCCUCUCUCUGUCUCUCUCUUUCACUCUCCUUGUACUUGACAUUAAAGGGAGGUUAAAGUGGGAUAGGCCAGCGUCUGGCCAAGGGUUGUCUGGCUGGGAAGGGCUGGCUGGUAGAGAAGGGCUGGCAAGGAAGGGCAGGCUGGGAAGGGCUGGCUGGCAGGGAAGGGCUGGCUGGCAGGGAAGGGCUGGCUGGUAGAGAAGGGCUGGCAGGGAAGGGCUGGCUGGCUGGGAAGGGCUGGCUGGUAGAGAAGGGCUGGCUGGCAGGGAAGGGCUGGCAAGGAAGGGCAGGCUGGGAAGGGCUGGCUGGCAGGGAAGGGCAUUUCACGGUAAAGUCUACACCUGUUGUAUUCAGUGCAUGUGACGAAUACAAUUGGAUUUGAUUCGAUUUACCCUGGUGCUUGAGUGGGCCUGUGAACUACACUUAUUGGAGAAAGGCUGAUAACUUUCUGGCUGUGCUGCUGUCUGGCUGUCUGGCUGUGUUGCUGUCUGGCUGUGUUGCUGUCUGGCUGUCUGGCUGUGUUGCUGUCUGGCUGUCUGGCUGUGUUGCUGUCUGGCUGUGUUGCUGUCUGGCUGUGUUGCUGUCAGGCUGUCUGGCUGUGUUGCUGUCAGGCUGUCUGGCUGUCUGGCUGUGUUGCUGUCAGGCUGUCUGGUUGUGUUGCUGUCUGGCUGUCAGGCUGUGUUGCUGUCUGGCUGUCUGGCUGUGUUGCUGUCUCACUGUCUGUGUGUGUUGCUGUCAGGCUGUCUGUCUGUCUGGCUGUGUUGCUGUCUGUCUGUCUGGCUGUGUGUCUGUCUGUCUGGCUGUGUUGCUGUCUGGCUGUGUUGCUGUCAGGCUGUCUGGCUGUGUUGCUGUCUGGCUGUCUGGCUGUGUUGCUGUCAGGCUGUCAGGCUGUGUUGCUGUCUGUCUGGCUGUCUGGCUGUGUUGCUGUCUGGCUGUGUUGCUGUCUGGCUGUGUUGCUGUGUGGCUGUCUGGCUGUGUUGCUGUCUGGCUGUGUUGCUGUCUGGCUGUCUGUCUGGCUGUGUUGCUGUCAGGCUGUCUGGCUGUCUGGCUGUCAGACUGUCUGGCUGUCUGUCUGGCUGUCUGGCUGUGUUGCUGUCUGGCUGUCUGUCUGACUGUGUUGCUGUCUGGCUGUGUUGCUGUCAGGCUGUCUGGCUGUCAGGCUGUCUGGCUCUCUGGCUCUCUGGCUGUCAGGCUGUCAGGCUGUCUGGCUGUCAGGCUGUCUGGCUGGCUGUCUGGCUGUGUUGCUGUGUUGCUGUCUGGCUGGCUGUCUGGCUGUGUUGCUGUCAGGCUGUCUGGCUGUGUUGCUGUCAGGCUGUCUGGCUCUCAGGCUGUCUGGAUGUCAGGCUGUCUGGCUGUCAGACUGUCUGGCUGUGUUGCUGUCUGUCUGGCUCUGUGAGGAAUACUCUCCUGAUGCAUAAUUUGGAAGUUGUUCUUUUAAGCUUUUCAAUUGAAUUGUUUUCUUUUUGCAGGGACUUUCAGUUUGUCAGCCAGAGUUGGUUCAUGUCAGCUCUCCUCUCUAUCCUUUUAGUUCUCCCUCCCUCCCUUCUUCUCUCCCUCCUUUCUCUCCACUCCUGCGGCAGUAAUGACUAGCUUUCCCUCUGAGGAGAGAUGUCACUCUCGACAAUGAGAGCAAAUUGUAUCUGUUCUUUUGAGCUACACCAUUACCCCUGAAACUCACGUUGCUCUCUCCAUCUCUUUCCUUCACACUCUCUUUCUCUCCUCUCUCUUUAAGUUUCUCUCCAUCUUUCUUUUUCUCCCCCCCCCCCCCCCCACCGUUCAGAGACAUUCCGCUGUAUGUUCUGUCAGACAGAGGUAGAGAAGGAUGAGUCUGGUGACCCGUUUCAACGAACAGAUCGAGCCCAUCUACGCGCUGCUGAGUGAGACCGAGGAAGUCCAGCUAUCAAACAACCUGCUGGAGCCCGAGCCUGCCGAGAUCCCCGGCCUCUGAUAGAGUCAGUGAUGCCCAUAGCAUGCAGGACCCCUACCGACAAACGAUGAACAGGAACUCCAAAGAAUCAUGAUUCUACAAGCCUCUCGUCACAAGUCAUUCACCAUAGGGGGCUUAUUGGAGAUUUCAUCUGUAACUGCAAUUUAUAAAAUGAUAGAAAACAUGGCGAAGAACUGUAGCGGAUGUUUGGAAACCCUUCACAUGCCUGCUCCUGUCCCAGUCCCCCCAUGGGAAUGGCCCGCAGAGCCAUGGCAGAGAAUUCAUGUGGACUACGCUGGUCCCUUUGAAAAGCACAUGUUUCUGGUUAUAGUGGAUGCCCAUUCCAAAUGGCCAGAGGUGUUUUGCACUGACUCCUCCACCUCAGCUCAGACGAUAGAGUGUCUCAGAACAACGUUUGCAUGGUUCGGUUUGCCACUGCAGCUGGUAAGUGACAACGCGCAAGCUUUUGUAAGUGACGAGUUUACAAGAUUCAUGUCAGUAAAUGGAAUCAAACACUCAACCUCAGCUCCAUACCACCCUGCCACCAAUGGGCUGGCAGAACGCAUUGUGCAAACCCUAAAGUAAGUACUCCGUGCAGCAAAACGAGACGAAGGGACUUUGCAAACAAAACUGGCCAAGUUCCUGGCCUCCUACCGAAACACCCCACAUGCCACAACAAAUGAAAGCCCAGCCGCACUGAUGUUCGGGAGGCCUCUCCGCACACAGCUGGACAUCAUGAAGCCAAACAGGCGUAAUGAAGUGCUGAACAAACAAGCCAAGAUGCUCUCCAGUGGCCGGGAGCGCCAUCUCCAAACAGGACAGGAAGUGAUGGUGCGAGACUACAGAAGAGGAGGGAAAUGGACAAGAGGGGCCGUACACACACAAACGGGACCCAGAACUUACCAGGUUCAAGUGAGCCCAGACAUAAUCUGGCGGCGUCACAUUAACCAAAUGCAUUCCACGGAAAACAGCACAACAAUCGAGAGAGAACAGGCACAGAGAGCUCAUGAGAGUGACACACAGGGAACUGUAGAGGACGGUGGGGCAGUAAAGAGACCCCAGGCUGAAAGAACUGAACGUGUUGAUGAAGGUGCUGCUAUAGCAGAAGCUAUAAUGGUAAAAGCACUGAGGAUGUUCAGGAGCCUCCAGACAAUCCGAGGCGCUACCCAGAACGAAGGCACCGUCCACCAGACAGACUAGACUUAUAAACAAACAAACAAAAACUAACUGUUCAAGUUCAAAUUAAAAGAUGCAAAAUAACUACAACAAGUUCUGGGAAAUGUUUCAGUUGUGGUUUGGUAAAAGUAACUCUGAUUGUAUAAGAGAAGGAAUGUUAUGUUCUGUUAAUUACUGAUGUCCCCUUUAAGGAUGGAGCACCCUUGGUCAUGCGCAGUGUUGUUCUAUGUUAUUCUGGUACUAACUAGUUUGAGUAAAUGUGAAGCUCCAGUUCAA